AACGAUGUGGGAAGGCCCAGACAGCCAGGAUGUUGGCUUAGAAGCAGCCAUCAUUUAAAGAAAGCGUAAUAGCUCACUGGUCGAGUCGGCCUGCGCGGAAGAUGUAACGGGGCUAAACCAUGCACCGAAGCUGCGGCAGCGACACUAUGUGUUGUUGGGUAGGGGAGCGUUCUGUAAGCCUGUGAAGGUGGCCUGUGAGGGUUGCUGGAGGUAUCAGAAGUGCGAAUGCUGACAUAAGUAACGAUAAAGCGGGUGAAAAGCCCGCUCGCCGGAAGACCAAGGGUUCCUGUCCAACGUUAAUCGGGGCAGGGUGAGUCGACCCCUAAGGCGAGGCCGAAAGGCGUAGUCGAUGGGAAACGGGUUAAUAUUCCCGUACUUGGUGUUACUGCGAAGGGGGGACGGAGAAGGCUAUGUUGGCCGGGCGACGGUUGUCCCGGUUUAAGCGUGUAGGUGUGUGUUCCAGGUAAAUCCGGUUCACUUUAACACUGAGGCGUGAUGACGAGGCACUACGGUGCUGAAGCAACAAAUGCCCUGCUUCCAGGAAAAGCCUCUAAGCAUCAGGUAACAUCAAAUCGUACCCCAAACCGACACAGGUGGUCAGGUAGAGAAUACCAAGGCGCUUGAGAGAACUCGGGUGAAGGAACUAGGCAAAAUGGUGCCGUAACUUCGGGAGAAGGCACGCUGACAUGUAGGUGAAGUGAUUUACUCAUGGAGCUGAAGUCAGUCGAAGAUACCAGCUGGCUGCAACUGUUUAUUAAAAACACAGCACUGUGCAAACACGAAAGUGGACGUAUACGGUGUGACGCCUGCCCGGUGCCGGAAGGUUAAUUGAUGGGGUCAGCGCAAGCGAAGCUCCUGAUCGAAGCCCCGGUAAACGGCGGCCGUAACUAUAACGGUCCUAAGGUAGCGAAAUUCCUUGUCGGGUAAGUUCCGACCUGCACGAAUGGCGUAAUGAUGGCCAGGCUGUCUCCACCCGAGACUCAGUGAAAUUGAACUCGCUGUGAAGAUGCAGUGUACCCGCGGCAAGACGGAAAGACCCCGUGAACCUUUACUAUAGCUUGACACUGAACAUUGAGCCUUGAUGUGUAGGAUAGGUGGGAGGCUUUGAAGUGUGGACGCCAGUCUGCAUGGAGCCGACCUUGAAAUACCACCCUUUAAUGUUUGAUGUUCUAACGUGGACCCGUAAUCCGGGUUGCGGACAGUGUCUGGUGGGUAGUUUGACUGGGGCGGUCUCCUCCUAAAGAGUAACGGAGGAGCACGAAGGUUGGCUAAUCCUGGUCGGACAUCAGGAGGUUAGUGCAAUGGCAUAAGCCAGCUUGACUGCGAGCGUGACGGCGCGAGCAGGUGCGAAAGCAGGUCAUAGUGAUCCGGUGGUUCUGAAUGGAAGGGCCAUCGCUCAACGGAUAAAAGGUACUCCGGGGAUAACAGGCUGAUACCGCCCAAGAGUUCAUAUCGACGGCGGUGUUUGGCACCUCGAUGUCGGCUCAUCACAUCCUGGGGCUGAAGUAGGUCCCAAGGGUAUGGCUGUUCGCCAUUUAAAGUGGUACGCGAGCUGGGUUUAGAACGUCGUGAGACAGUUCGGUCCCUAUCUGCCGUGGGCGCUGGAGAACUGAGGGGGGCUGCUCCUAGUACGAGAGGACCGGAGUGGACGCAUCACUGGUGUUCGGGUUGUCAUGCCAAUGGCACUGCCCGGUAGCUAAAUGCGGAAGAGAUAAGUGCUGAAAGCAUCUAAGCACGAAACUUGCCCCGAGAUGAGUUCUCCCUGAGACUUUAGGUCUCCUGAAGGAACGUUGAAGACGACGACGUUGAUAGGCCGGGUGUGUAAGCGCAGCGAUGCGUUGAGCUAACCGGUACUAAUGAACCGUGAGGCUUAACCUUACAACGCCGAAG
Molecule: ribosomal RNA, 1890 nt
Filed under: Salmonella enterica
Lineage: Bacteria; Pseudomonadati; Pseudomonadota; Gammaproteobacteria; Enterobacterales; Enterobacteriaceae
Description: partial 23S ribosomal RNA
Rfam family: Bacterial large subunit ribosomal RNA
Source: RNAcentral